AGUGAACGCUGGCGGUAGGCCUAACACAUGCAAGUCGAACGGCAGCACAGUAAGAGCUUGCUCUUACGGGUGGCGAGUGGCGGACGGGUGAGGAAUACAUCGGAAUCUACUUUUUCGUGGGGGAUAACGUAGGGAAACUUACGCUAAUACCGCAUACGACCUACGGGUGAAAGCAGGGGAUCUUCGGACCUUGCGCGAUUGGAUGAGCCGAUGUCGGAUUAGCUAGUUGGCGGGGUAAAGGCCCACCAAGGCGACGAUCCGUAGCUGGUCUGAGAGGAUGAUCAGCCACACUGGAACUGAGACACGGCCCAGACUCCUACGGGAGGCAGCAGUGGGGUAUAUUGGACAAUGGGCGCAAGCCUGAUCCAGCCAUACCGCGUGGGUGAAGAAGGCCUUCGGGUUGUAAAGCCCUUUUGUUGGGAAAGAAAAGCAGCAGGUUAAUACCCCGCUGUUCUGACGGUACCCAAAGAAUAAGCACCGGCUAACUUCGUG
RNAcentral lists this ribosomal RNA (492 nucleotides) under uncultured bacterium. Its description in RNAcentral is "partial 16S ribosomal RNA". It matches the Rfam family "Bacterial small subunit ribosomal RNA", at positions 29 to 507 of the family's 1533-position model. The record is from RNAcentral.